This 253-nucleotide ribosomal RNA is filed under the name uncultured bacterium. RNAcentral describes it as "partial 16S ribosomal RNA". It matches the Rfam family "Bacterial small subunit ribosomal RNA", at positions 524 to 776 of the family's 1533-position model. The record is from RNAcentral.
UACGUAGGGUGCAAGCGUUAAUCGGAAUUACUGGGCGUAAAGCUUGCGCAGGCGGCUUUGCAAGACAGAUGUGAAAUCCCCGGGCUUAACCUGGGAACUGCAUUUGUGACUGCAUGGCUGGAGUGCGGCAGAGGGGGAUGGAAUUCCGCGUGUAGCAGUGAAAUGCGUAGAUAUGCGGAGGAACACCGAUGGCGAAGGCAAUCCCCUGGGCCUGCACUGACGCUCAUGCACGAAAGCGUGGGGAGCAAACAGG